RNAcentral lists this ribosomal RNA (397 nucleotides) under uncultured bacterium. RNAcentral's name for it is "bacterial SSU rRNA". It matches the Rfam family "Bacterial small subunit ribosomal RNA", at positions 140 to 518 of the family's 1533-position model. The record is from RNAcentral.
GGGAUACCCGAGGGAAACUUCGGCUAAUUACCGAAUACGAAUUUAAGAGGCAUCGUACUUGAAUUUUGAAAGGGGCUUUCAAGCCCCGCUGAUUGAUGGACCUGCGGCGCAUUAGCUAGUUGGUGAGAUAACAGCCCACCAAGGCGAGGACGCGUAGCCGACCUGAGAGGGUGAACGGCCACAAUGGGACUGAGACACGGCCCAUACUCCUACGGGAGGCAGCAGUAGGGAGUUUUCGGCAAUGGGGGAAACCCUGACCGAGCAACGCCGCGUGAACGAAUGAAGGUCUUCGGAUUGUAAAGUUCUGUUGUAGGGGAUGAAUGAUUCGUGAAGGAAAUGUCACGAAUUUGACAGUACUCUACCAGAAAGCCACGGCUAACUACGUGCCAGCCGCCGC